This 492-nucleotide ribosomal RNA is filed under the name uncultured bacterium. Its description in RNAcentral is "partial 16S ribosomal RNA". It matches the Rfam family "Bacterial small subunit ribosomal RNA", at positions 29 to 507 of the family's 1533-position model. The record is from RNAcentral.
AGUGAACGCUGGCGGUAGGCCUAACACAUGCAAGUCGAACGGCAGCACAGUAAGAGCUUGCUCUUACGGGUGGCGAGUGGCGGACGGGUGAGGAAUACAUCGGAAUCUACUUUUUCGUGGGGGAUAACGUAGGGAAACUUACGCUAAUACCGCAUACGACCUACGGGUGAAAGCAGGGGUUUUUCGACCUUUCGCCGUUUGAUUGACCGGAUGUCGGAUUAGCUAGUUGGCGGGGUAAAGGCCCACCAAGGCGACGAUCCGUAGCUGGUCUGAGAGGAUGAUCAGCCACACUGGAACUGAGACACGGUCCAGACUCCUACGGGAGGCAGCAGUGGGGAAUAUUGGACAAUGGGCGCAAGCCUGAUCCAGCCAUACCGCGUGGGUGAAGAAGGCCUUCGGGUUGUAAAGCCCUUUUGUUGGGAAAGAAAAGCAGCAGGUUAAUACCCCGCUGUUCUGACGGUACCCAAAGAAUAAGCACCGGCUAACUUCGUG